RNAcentral lists this transfer RNA (67 nucleotides) under Modiolus modiolus (northern horsemussel). Its description in RNAcentral is "tRNA-Met". Lineage: Eukaryota; Metazoa; Mollusca; Bivalvia; Mytilida; Modiolidae. The record is from RNAcentral.
UGAAGGGUAAACUAAGUAAAGUUAUUGGGUUCAUGCCUCAAAAAUGCCAGUGGGAUGGUCCCUUCAG